UGGUCUGCGCAUGUGUAGCAAGAGGUUUAAAAUUAUACCGGAAGUGUGCGCUCACGUUUUUCAAACAAACAUUUGGUCGUCGUCGAGCCUGUGUGGAUGUCACGAGGGGAAAGGAAGGUACUAUGAGAUGCUUCAAAGGCUGAAAAUUAACCAGUUUUAUGGAGCACCAACAGUCAUCCGCCUUUUGCUGAAGUACGGAGACCAUCGAGUGCAAAAAUACGACCGCUCCACCCUCAAAACUGUGGGCACCGCAGUGGAUGAGCCAAUCAACAUGUGCACAGAGACCAGUGGCAUCUGCAUCCCAUCCAGGCCUUCACAACCAGAAACAGAUUGUCCCAGGAAUGGCCAUGAGACCUUUUUGGGAAUAAAACCAGUGCUCAAGCACAGUGAGAACACGCAGGUUUGAUUUCAGCGGCAACACCAUCAUGUUUUCCACGGACAAGCAGAUGGGCUAUCAGUGUUUCAUGAACUUCUUCGACUUGAGGGAUCCACAACAGAUUGUCAGGAGAAGUCCUGAAGAAAGCUGAGGAGCACAGCAGGCACAUCAACGACAUCCAGACAUCUGUAGGCCUCACCAUGUUCAUCUGUGCCUCACAGGACAACACCAACAAGGUGCUUAUGGGAGGUGAGCAGGAGGCCAUGGAAGUGACCACAGCUUCCACCAGGAUUGGCAAGUUUGAGGCCAGGUUCUUCCAAGCUGCGUACAAAGAGGAGUUUGGCAGGAGUCAAAGGUCAUUUUGGUCCCAUCAACUGCGUGGCUUUCCACCCUGACGGCAAGAGAUGGAGAUGACUUGUGGACACAGCAGCUUGGACUCUGCCAGGUA
Molecule: long non-coding RNA, 824 nt
Organism: Cynoglossus semilaevis (tongue sole)
Lineage: Eukaryota; Metazoa; Chordata; Actinopteri; Pleuronectiformes; Cynoglossidae
Exons: 8
Source: RefSeq, a predicted model, not a curated record